CCAGUCAGAUGAGUUCUAUGAAGGAUUUUGUAUUGUAUGAGUUGUAAAUUGGCAUUUGUCGUCAUGGAGAAAAUGUUCUUGCAGAUUUGGGGCCAGAAGUCAGCAUCAGGAGCAAUGGAGAGGUCAGAUUCCCAUUUUUCUGAAGGUAUGGAGGGUGUUGAAUCGGCCUGUGAUAAUAAUUUGUAUAUUUUAGAUAGAAGUUUCUUUGAGGAAGGGAUGUUAAUGAAUUUAGAGGGUAACGGGGGGAGGUCUAAGUUUAUAUUCUUGUUUUUCAUUGUUGAUUGGAUGGAUGAUGAAACCUGUAGAUAUUGUAAGAAUUGAUGGCUCCUGAUGUCAAACUUCUGGACCAGGAGAGAGAAUGGGACCAGGGUGUUAUUGUUGAAGAUAUGUUUGAGGUGAGUAAUCCCUUUCUCUACCCAGGUGCUGAAGUAAAGUGAUUGUUUAUUGCUGAUGAAGUCCAGGUUGUGCCAGAUCGGGGUGAAAAGCGAUGGUGCCAAAGUGGAGAUAGUAAUGCUGUAGAAUUUCCACCAGGCUGUCAGGGCCGAUGAUAUUGUGGGGUUCUGGAAACAGGGGUGUUUUUUGAUAGUUUGACUAAGGAAUGGUAAGUCUGAGGGAUGGAUGUUUUUGCUAACUAUUUGUUCUACGUCUAACCAAGUGCUAUCUGACUGGGUGGGGUGGGUCCAUUUGUAGAUGUAUUGAAGUUGAUUUGCUAGUGAGUAAUAAUGAAAAUUUGGAGCAUUGAGUCCGCCUAAACUUUUUGAUUUUUGAAGAGUGGCCAGUUUGAUUCGUGGGGGUUUAUUUUUCCAGUAAAAUUUGUUGAUGGAUGAAUCGAGGGAAUGAAACCAGGUGAGAGGUGGAUGAGUGGGAAUCAUUGAACAAAGGUAACUGAUUUUGGGGAGGAUUGUCAUUUUAACUGUUGCUAUUCUGCCUAUAAUAGAUAAUGGGAGGUUCAUCCAUCGUUGGAGAUCGUCAUUGAUUGUUUUUAGGAGUGGAGUGAAAUUCAGGUUGAUCAACUCUGACAGCCUGGGGGAAAUGUGGAUGCCUAAGUAGGUGAUGUGACUUGCGCAGAAGGGGAUGGGUGUUGUAAGGGCUGCCACAGCCAGACUGUUGGUGUUUAAUGGGAGUAUGGAGGAUUUGUUCCAGUUUAUUGAGUAGUCAGAGAGAAGGGAGAAGGAUUUGAUGACUCUGAUUACUUCUUGUAGUGAUGAUUUUGGAUUCUCCAUAAAAAAGUAAAAUGUCAUCUGCAUAGAGGCUGAUUUUAUGGUGCAUGUUGGGGGUUUGGAUUCCUGUAAUGAGGGGGUUCUGACGGAUGGCUGCUGCUAGGGGUUCAAUGAAAAUGGUGAACAAAGAGGGAGAGAGUGGGCAACCUUGUCUGGUCCCCCUGUGAAGAGUGAAGCUUUGUGAGGUUUGUCCGUUAGUAAUAACUGUGGCUGUAGGUGAGGUGUAAAGUGUUCUAAUCCAGUUAAUAAAUGAUUCCCCAAAGCCAAAACUGUGUAGGGUGUGGAUGAGGAAUGACCAGUUAACUCUGUCAAAGGCUUUUUCUGCAUCCAAGGUGGCUAUGAUUGAAUUAUGGUUAUGUGUGGUUGAGUGGUGCAUUAUAUUGAAUAGUCUGCGUGUGUUAUUGGAUGAGUUUCUUCCUUUAAUAAAUCCUGUUUGAUCCGGGUGAAUAAUGGAUGGAAUAAUUUUUUCUAAUCGGUGGGAAAGUGCCUUGGUGAUAGUUUUAAUGUCAACGUUGAGAAGUGAAAUGGGGCGGUAACUUGAAGGCAGGGUGGGGUCUUUGUUUGGUUUUACAAGCUCUUUUAAUUUCUCUCUCUCUUCCUCCCUCUCACACACACAUGCACGCAUGCACACAAUGACUAUGUGGACUGAAUGGCUUGCCAAAAAACAACACACUAUCUGUAUUUUCUUGAAAUGUCAUGAAUUAACCUACCAAAUGCACCAUGACGGUGCUUUUUGGCAAGCCAUUCAUUCCACUCAAUGACUGCAAGGUGGUCUUGAAGCAAAGUUUCUGUUCGGUUUCCCCUGAGCCUCCAAAUCUUCUCUUUGUAAAUUCUCCAGGCCCUUUCGAUAUGCUGGGUAUGGGCUCCAGUAAGGGGAUGAACGUAGGACCUGCUAUGGUUUACCGUGUGGUGCACAUACCCUAAUGCAGGCAGCACACGGUAAGCGUGCCACUCAUCACUGAUGAUGUUGGACCCACCCCGUACAUGUUGGGUGAUUAGAGGCACCAGAUGUGCUCAGUUUCUCCGCUCUACCAGGCGUAGGCCUUCGAGAGUUUUUCUUUACAGCAAGCAUCCCAAAGACCCAUUUUUUCCGGUCCCAGGCACCAGCCAUUCUUCCUCUCCCGUACUGAUGCAGAAACAAAACUAAUUAGGUACAGUAUGAACAAAUACAAAACAUCGGUUGACUUUAUUUCAUAAUCAUGGUAAGUAAAUUUUAGUAAUACACACCUUUCGUUUGUGCCGAAAAUGGCUCUCAUCGAUGGUGACAAACUCUCAUCUGCCGCCCAUCCUCUGACCAGUACGUCUUCUCAUUUUUUUUAAUGCCGUUACACACACUCUCCUUAAUUGUUUGGCCAUUUUGCUCAGGGUUGCUGAGCUGCCCGCAAUGGUGUCAUCUAGCAUGUCGAUCUGCCGCAGCCGUAGCCCCUGAGCAAAUCUAUAAAGACAAAAAAUAAAUAAUGUUUAUUGUUAACAUGUAUUCACAUAACAUUUAUAAAUGAAUAAGAUAAUCUCCUAACAGAUCCCUGUGCACCACACACAAGGAUCUGUGUGUAUCCUUGUGCGCCACUGUUUGUACCAUGGCCUAUGAUCUAAUCAGCAGAUGCAAGAGGAUAUAUUAUACAGAGCACUGCUUCUCAAACAUUUCGUGUCGAGACCCCCCAAAGUCAUCAUAUUUGAACUGAGGACCCUCCCACCCCAUCUGGAUACAUAUCGUGAAGUGCAACAAUGCCCCAAAAUGGAGUGUGUUAUCUAACCUCAAUGUGUGACCA
RNAcentral lists this long non-coding RNA (2989 nucleotides) under Xyrichtys novacula (pearly razorfish). The record is from RNAcentral. Lineage: Eukaryota; Metazoa; Chordata; Actinopteri; Labriformes; Labridae.